GCUAUGUAGACCAGGCUGGCCUCAGACUCAUAUGAUCUGCCCGUUUCUGCCUCAAGUGUGUACUACCCAUACCCAGUGGAAAUAUGCAUCUUAACUGCUCUGUCAUGGCUGGUCCCUCAGCCACAAGCAUCUGAACUAAAAUAGAAUCGAAUCUCCUGUUAGAGAUGGAAAGUAUUCCGCCCAAGCUCACACUAUAGUGGGGAAGGCAAAGUGGAGUUCAUGGCAGCAGAACCAUGUGUGGAGGUGUCUCAUACAGCACAAAGGAAGCAAAGUGCUCAGACUGGAGCCAGAGGUGGGUAUACCCUCCAGAGGCCCACUUCUAGUGACCUACGCCUGCCAUCCCAGCCCUAGCUCCUAAAGGCUCCAUGACCUUCUGAGCAGUACCACAAGCUGAAGAUCAAGUUUUUAAAACAUGAGCCUGUGGGGGAAAUCUUAGAUUCAAGACACAAUAUCUCAUAACUCAUC
Nannospalax galili (Upper Galilee mountains blind mole rat) is the source of this 465-nucleotide long non-coding RNA. RefSeq lists it as uncharacterized. Lineage: Eukaryota; Metazoa; Chordata; Mammalia; Rodentia; Spalacidae. The record is from RefSeq and is a predicted model, not a curated record. The transcript has 3 exons.